This 4438-nucleotide unclassified non-coding RNA is filed under the name Hevea brasiliensis (rubber tree). Lineage: Eukaryota; Viridiplantae; Streptophyta; Magnoliopsida; Malpighiales; Euphorbiaceae. The record is from RNAcentral.
GGUCAAUUCAGUUUUUUGAAAAUUUUUACAAAAAUAAUCGAAUUGAAAAUCAAAGUCCCUUGAAAUUACUAACCUAACUAAAACGUAUAACUGAAACCAAACUAAAUUAGUUCAAUUAAAACCAUGUACAGCACAACCGUAGUCCCAGAAGGCAGUUGUUAACAAUUAGAAUUGAUUUCCAGCUCAAUAAAUGGGGCCAAAUGUCACUCUGCAAAGUUGGAUACAGCAGCAGACCAUGAGAAACUAAUAAACAGAUAUACAAUACAAGGUGUAUUCAGCUUACAUCUCCAACUUCGUGUAUUAAUGAAUCAAGAUUUUCAAAAUCAGAAGCAAAUGUCUCUCCAAACAUGUAAAUUAACAUGAAAUCCCCAAUGCCUAAACCAACUGUACACUUGGAAACAACUCUCAAAAGAAACCUCAUACCCAAUAUCCACCGUUCCAAUUUCGCUUCGAAAGGAGCCCACCAUGCUCACUCAUGCUCCCUCUUAAUCUAUAAAAUGCUGUUUUACUUCGUACUGUUCUCAAGGGACCUGAUCUGUUCCCCUGCUUAAUAGCUAAAGACAACCGAUCCCCAACCAAACUUGAAGCUGAAAACGGUCUGUUUUCUGUCUCUUCAAGUGGACCUGAACUGUACUCCAUUGUGAUGAAAGACGAGGCUUGCCCAUGAGUUAUUCGAGGGGAUAUCCCACCAGCAUUCCACCAACUACCAUAGGAAGGGGCAAGAUCAACUUUAAAAUCAGAAUCCGGAGCAGAAGACUCCUUUUGACUACAGUUGUCUCCACAAGUCUCAUCCAUGUCAUUGUAUAUUAGCUUUAGAGCCUGAACAACUUCACCCAUGAAGGGUCUGUUAGUCACCUCCGGAUGAACGCACAUAGAAGCAAUGGCAGCCACCUUAGCCAUGUCAUCAAAGCCAUAAGUUCCUGCCAAGGAAGGAUCCACCAACUGCUCCAGUCCUUCUCUACUGGUUAGCAAUGGACGUGCCCAAGUUACUAAAUUUUCCUCCCCAGGAGGCUGGAACAUGUCCACAGGUUUUCUUCCAGAUAGAAGCUCAAGCAGCACAACCCCAUAACUGUAAACAUCACUCUUGACAAGCAGAUGCCCUGUCAUUGCAUAUUCAGGGGCAACAUAUCCAAAAGUCCCAGCAACAUCAGUUGUUGCAUGUGUCUCAGAAGUACCCAAAAUACGUGCAAGGCCAAAGUCAGAAAGAUAUGCAUUAAAAUUGUUGUCCAGCAAUAUGUUGCUUGGUUUAAUAUCACGGUGUAACACCCGAGGGACACACUCAUCGUGCAAAUAAGCAAGGGCACGUGCAAUAUCAAGAGCAAUCUUGUGAAGCAUGCUCCAUUCCACAACCCUCCCUGUUCGCUCCUGGAUGAAUCUCUCUAGAUUGCCGCCAGGAAAGUAGUUGUAGAUUAGGAACAUUUCUGACUCGCUUAGAUGGUAACCUAUCAGCUUUACAAGAUUUGGAUGCUGCACCCUUUCUAGAGUUCUGAUCUCAGCUGCAAACUGUUGAACACCUUGAAAUCUGCCAACUGAUAGCCGCUUUACUGCUACCACAACUCCAGGAACAAUCUCAGCUUUGUAUGUGGCACCAAAACCUCCACUUCCGAUGCAAUUCUGAAUAUUGAAACUCCCAGUAGCCCUCACAACAUUUUCAUACGUCAAAUGUACACCAAUAUCAUUGCAAGUUACAACUUCUUUCCUGCCUGGCCCUUGGCCAGAUGUAGAAUUGCAUAAAAAUUUCUUCAUGCAUGUGAGGAAGAGAAUUAAUGCUACUAGAACAGAGAAAAUAACUGAGGCUGAAGUAACCGAGGCAAUUUCAAUCGGAUUGAAAGCACCAUUAUUCCUCCGUAUGCUUCCAAUGGGAGGACUGGCUCCUUGUUGGGAAAAAUUACCAGAAUGCUCCUGUUCCCAUUCAGAGGAUGAUGGACCAGUAUGACAUGGCUGAAGGUUAGGAUUUCCUUGCACAUUUUCACAUUUAAUUAAGUUUGAAUUCAAAGGUACAGAUCCAGACAAAUUGUUGAAAGAUACAUCAAAUACCGAGAGUGAAGUUGUAUUACCAAGGUUGGAUGGUAUCUUUCCAUAUAAGUGGUUAUGAUCUAACCGCAGUACACUAAGAUGUUGAAGUUUUGCAAAAUCAGGCAGUAUCUCUCCUGAAAGAGAAUUUGAAGAAAGUUCCAAAACCUCUAAUGCAGACAGUUGAGUCAACUCCCAAGGUAUUGCACCAGUAAAGUUAUUGCUGGCAAGCGACAAAUACCUCAAAUCCUUCAUCCAACCAACAAAGGAAGGAAUGGGACCUUGUAAUCUGUUUCUACCGAGGUUAAGACUAACUAGGGAAUCCAAAUGACUAAAGGCACGAUGAAUUGAACCAAUUAAAUAGUUUCCUGCCACAUUGAAAACUUUCAUGCAUUUGCAACUGCUUCCCACAAAAGAAGGGAGUUCACCAACAAUUCUAUUGUUACCAAUAUCAAAAAUCAAGCCAUCUAAACUAAGACACAAAUCAAAGGAAUAAGUUGCAAUAUUGCCCUCAAGAUUAUUCCCACUCAACCAAAAACCAUAGAAGGGCCUAUGAGAAAAACUUCCCAAAGCAAUCAACAGGGGAGGAACUGGCCCGGUGAAAAAGUUGUUGCUCAAAUCAUGUAAUACAGCCAAACCACCAGAAGGAAAAGAGAAUGAACCACUGCCCGUCACAGCAUUUGUGUAAAAGAAAGUAGAGAAGAAGCCAACAAUAUCACCAUAUGAAAUGGACAACUUAAAAAUCUUGGAACACCCGCCAUUAGAAAAUCUCGUAACGUCUCCAGUAAAAGAGUUCCUACUAACGUUAAAAACAACCAUACAUGGAACAGAAAAUGCUUGUGGAAGCAACCCAGUCAAGUUAUUGGAACUCAAAUCGAGAAAGUACAAGUUCUUACUAUUAGCAAGGGACACAGGGAUUGCUCCAGUGAAGUAAUUUCCUGCCAAAUUCAGCAUCUUCAAGUUAGAAGAAGACCCCCAAUUCUGUGGAAACUCGCCCUCAAAGUUUAAGCUUGGGGCCCAAAGCACAUGGAGAUUGGGUAGCCUUGUAAUACUAUCAGGCAACUUGCCAUCAAAAUAGUUAAACUCCCCCUCCCCACGCUCCUCUUCUUCAAUUGUCGAACUUGAAAAAUCUGUUGACCACAGGGGACCAUAGUUAUUUUUUAGGACAAGCAGCUUUAACUGCCCACAGUUGCCCAACUCGGGCGGUACAAUCCCACUUAAGAAAUUUCUGGACAAGUCAAGCACUUCAAGAUUUCCCAAUUGCCCAAGGGUCGAAGGAAUACCAUCUUGCAACAAAUUUGAAGAGAGAAUCAAAGACUGAAGCUCUUUGCAAUUCCCUAGACUAGAAGGAAUUGAACCCGAGAAUGAAUUCCCAUCAAGAAGAAGAUGCUCAAGGCUCCCACAAUUGCCGCCCAAAUCAUACGGAAUGGAACCGCUCAACAAAUUAAAGGAAAGCGAAAGAAUUUGCAAACCCGGAAAUUGAUUAACAAAUGUAGGAAUUGUACCAUUUAAUCGAUUCCCAGAGAGAUUAAUAACGCGCAAUGACGUGCAAUUUUGGAGGGAAACCGGUAUAGUCCCGUGAAAAGCAUUAAAACCCAAGUCAAGAACCUCUAACAGGUAAAGCUGGCCAAUCUCCAAAGGCAGCUCUCCAUAAAACCCAUUAAACCCAAGAGACAAGACUGCAAGCUGAGAGAGAUGGCCAAUUGCAGGCGACAAUUUUCCAGCCAAUUUUGGUGACGAGUCUUCGUUAAACCCUGAGCAAGGAAAUAGCAAAGAGAAGUUACCCACUACACCAUUUGUCGCUGUUGAAGUUGGAGAAAAAGAAACAAGAGGGCAGGUAGAAUUGUUAUUGGAGGAGAGAUUAAGGGCUCUGACUCGACGGGAAAGACGGUCGCAGGUAACGCCAUUCCAGGAACAAGGGUCUGGAUCCUUAGGGUUCCAAUUGGAGGUGAGCCCUGAUGGGUCUCUAAUGAUUGCAGAUUUGAACAACAGCAAUGCCUGCUUAUCAUCAACGCUUGAAGCAGCCAAACCAACUGAACUGUACAAAAUUAGAACAAGAAUAAUCACUGACAAAGAUUUACAGAGCAGACCACGGUGAAGAUGGUAAUGAUCAGAAUUGAGUGGCAUUUUUUCUUUUUCUGGUUUCGAAUUGGGGAAAGAAAGAGAGAGAGAGGAGAUAUGGUAGAGAAGGAGAAGCUACAAAGCCUCUCUUCCAAGCUUAGAAGAGAAGCGAGAACCUGAGGUCUGCCAUGGAGGUAGGUGUGCUAGUUGGUGGUGAAGUGAGAACCAGCAGAGUGUUAAAAAAAAAUUAAAAUAAAAAUAGAAGAAAAAGACAGUGAAACGUCAACGAUACAAGAGGAAGAAUUGUAAAAUUCCAAAGCGAAAAAGGCAAUGAAAAUUGAACUCCUUUUGUUUUCCUUUGUGC